Long non-coding RNA from Megalopta genalis, 291 nucleotides. RefSeq lists it as uncharacterized. The record is from RefSeq and is a predicted model, not a curated record. NCBI's taxonomy places the organism in Eukaryota, Metazoa, Arthropoda, Insecta, Hymenoptera, Halictidae.
UGAACUACAUCUGAUAAUAAAGAAAAGUGUGUAUCUAAGGUGGCUUUCAUAGCAUUGUCAGCUUUUAAAAGUACUUUUAGCAUACAUGCUCCUCAAAUAUAUUUAUCCAAGGGGUGAUUUAUAGAGCAAAAGUACAACUAUGUACUGGCAAAAAGUUUCUGCUUAUAUACAUACACUUAUUUACAAAGAAUAUUCGCAUUUUAGAGUUAUAAAAUGUUCUUCUAUGCAGGUAAGACAAAUGGAGAAUGUAAGGGGAAUUUAAAUUAAGUAAAUAAAUACACAAUAACGCAA